This 80-nucleotide transfer RNA is filed under the name Helicobacter pylori. RNAcentral's name for it is "tRNA-Pyl". Lineage: Bacteria; Pseudomonadati; Campylobacterota; Epsilonproteobacteria; Campylobacterales; Helicobacteraceae. The record is from RNAcentral.
UUAGGAAAUAAUGAGGUUGAUGAACACUUUGAGCUUUCUAAAAAUUUAGGCAAAAAUGGUGCGAUUCUUUUCUUUUGGCC